Molecule: ribosomal RNA, 232 nt
Filed under: uncultured Staphylococcus sp.
Lineage: Bacteria; Bacillati; Bacillota; Bacilli; Caryophanales; Staphylococcaceae
Description: partial 16S ribosomal RNA
Rfam family: Bacterial small subunit ribosomal RNA
Source: RNAcentral
AGUAACACGUGGAUAACCUACCUAUAAGACUGGGAUAACUUCGGGAAACCGGAGCUAAUACCGGAUAAUAUUUUGAACCGCACUGAUUCAAAAGUGAAAGACGGUCUUGCUGUCACUUAUAGAUGGAUCCGCGCUGCAUUAGCUAGUUGGUAAGGUAACGGCUUACCAAGGCAACGAUGCAUAGCCGACCUGAGAGGGUGAUCGGCCACACUGGAACUGAGACACGGUCCAG